Long non-coding RNA from Python bivittatus (Burmese python), 238 nucleotides. RefSeq lists it as uncharacterized. NCBI's taxonomy places the organism in Eukaryota, Metazoa, Chordata, Lepidosauria, Squamata, Pythonidae. The record is from RefSeq and is a predicted model, not a curated record.
AGAUAUCAAAUGUCUGUACACUAAUUCGAUAAAUAAAUGAAAAGGAGCUCAGGAUGGUGCGCAGUGUCUCCUCCCAUUGUUCUCCACAACAAUCCUGUGAGUGACUGUAAUGCUGAGGAAUUCCAGAGAAUAUUUUGAAGACUUCUGGAGUAUUGGAAUAUAUUCUUAGUGGGAGCUAUUGACUCUGCAGGAGCACACAAGAGCAAGUCAAUCUGGUAACAGUUUACCCCAUCGUGGC